CUCUUCCCGGACUGGACGGACGUGGACCCUGUGCUGUUUGCUGGCUUCCCUGGUUUUAUGAGACAAAAACUCGCGUAUUGUAAAGUGUUCUUGGUUAUUCACUGGAAAGUUAGUUAAGAGUCAAGUAAUUGAGACAUCAAAUGUCGUUGACAGUGCCCACUGACGAUGUUUGCCCAUCAAGAAGUUAUCCUUGACUAAAGCUGAGGGGUUUUUUAUUCAUUCUUGAAGUAAUUUCGAACGUGAAAGUUGUACUGAAGAAAGAAAGGACAUCUCAGUGACAGUACUCCAAGGAGCAUGCAAUUCGGAAAUUGGAACGUCCUUGUGGAGUACCUUGUGCUCUUAAUCAUACUCCCAUAUUACAUUGCACUUUGAAUCCUGUUGAGUUUUCCCUAGGAGGGGAAAAAUAGUGCAAAUCACACAUUUUGAAGACAAAUUCAACAUGUGUAAGUAAGGAACAACAAACAGUCUAUAUAUAAAUCAUAUUACACUUGCAUUCACUUUAAGAGAUGUUAAUGUAUCGCUG
This is a long non-coding RNA of Heterocephalus glaber (naked mole-rat), 523 nucleotides long. The record is from Ensembl. Lineage: Eukaryota; Metazoa; Chordata; Mammalia; Rodentia; Bathyergidae.